UACUCGAGUGGCGAACGGGUGAGUAACACGUGGGUGAUCUGCCCUGCACUUCGGGAUAAGCUUGGGAAACUGGGUCUAAUACCGGAUAGGAGCCAUCUUUAGUGUGGUGGUUGGAAAGUUUUUUCGGUGUAGGAUGAGCCCGCGGCCUAUCAGCUUGUUGGUGGGGUGAUGGCCUACCAAGGCGACGACGGGUAGCCGGCCUGAGAGGGUGAUCGGCCACAUUGGGACUGAGAUACGGCCCAG
This 243-nucleotide ribosomal RNA is filed under the name uncultured Actinomycetales bacterium. RNAcentral describes it as "partial 16S ribosomal RNA". It matches the Rfam family "Bacterial small subunit ribosomal RNA", at positions 88 to 334 of the family's 1533-position model. Lineage: Bacteria; Bacillati; Actinomycetota; Actinomycetes; Actinomycetales. The record is from RNAcentral.